Molecule: ribosomal RNA, 253 nt
Filed under: uncultured bacterium
Lineage: Bacteria
Description: partial 16S ribosomal RNA
Rfam family: Bacterial small subunit ribosomal RNA
Source: RNAcentral
UACGUAGGGUCCGAGCGUUGUCCGGAAUUACUGGGCGUAAAGCGCGUGUAGGCGGAUGGGCAAGUCUGCUGUGAAAGCUCCUGGCUUAACCGGGAGUGGUCGGUGGAAACUGCCAAUCUGGAGGACGGUAGAGGUAGGUAGAAUUCCCGGUGUAGAGGUGAAAUUCGUAGAUAUCGAGAGGAACACCGGUGGCGAAGGCGGCCAACUGGACGAAUACUGACGCUGAGACUCGAAAGCGUGGGGAGCAAACAGG